This 164-nucleotide small nuclear RNA is filed under the name Procavia capensis (Cape rock hyrax). RNAcentral's name for it is "U1 spliceosomal RNA (ENSPCAG00000019790.1)". It matches the Rfam family "U1 spliceosomal RNA". Rfam says of the family: U1 is a small nuclear RNA (snRNA) component of the spliceosome (involved in pre-mRNA splicing). Its 5' end forms complementary base pairs with the 5' splice junction, thus defining the 5' donor site of an intron. There are significant differences in sequence and secondary structure between metazoan and yeast U1 snRNAs, the latter being much longer (568 nucleotides as compared to 164 nucleotides in human). The record is from RNAcentral. Lineage: Eukaryota; Metazoa; Chordata; Mammalia; Hyracoidea; Procaviidae.
AUACUUACCUGGCAGGGGAGAUACCAUGAUCACGAAGGUGGUUUUCCCAGGGCGAGGCUUAUCCAUUGCACUCCGGAUGUGCUGACCCCUGCGAUUUCCCCAAAUGUGGGAAACUCGACUGCAUAAUUUGUGGUAGUGGGGGACUGCGUUCGCGCAUUUCCCCU